Molecule: small RNA, 144 nt
Filed under: Paenibacillus macerans
Lineage: Bacteria; Bacillati; Bacillota; Bacilli; Caryophanales; Paenibacillaceae
Description: c-di-AMP sequence
Rfam family: c-di-AMP riboswitch aptamer (ydaO/yuaA leader)
About the family: This family represents a conserved RNA structure found upstream of the ydaO and yuaA genes in Bacillus subtilis and related genes in other bacteria. The ydaO/yuaA element is thought to act as a genetic "off" switch for the ydaO and yuaA genes in its native state.
Source: RNAcentral
UAUAGACUCACGCUUAGUUUCCGGCUUAAGGAGCCGGGAAACGGGGGAACCAUUUUUUUGGGGCGAAUCAUUCAGCAAUGAUUGUAGGGUACCAUCUUACCCGAGCCCGUCAGCUAACCUCGUCAGCAGUGGAUGGGUCUAUAU